RNAcentral lists this unclassified non-coding RNA (154 nucleotides) under uncultured Ascomycota. Its description in RNAcentral is "sequence contains ITS2". The record is from RNAcentral. Lineage: Eukaryota; Fungi; Ascomycota. RNAcentral also lists the same sequence under 2 other names.
AACCCUUCAAGCACUGCUUGGUGUUGGGCGUUUGUCCCGCCUUGGGCGCGGACUCGCCUCAAAGACAUUGGCGGCCUGUGUAUUGGCUUCGAGCGCAGCAGACUCGCGCGUCGACUCCUCUAGCACUAGGCGUCCAGCAAGCCUAUUAUCUCAA